Molecule: small nucleolar RNA, 109 nt
Organism: Zygosaccharomyces rouxii
Lineage: Eukaryota; Fungi; Ascomycota; Saccharomycetes; Saccharomycetales; Saccharomycetaceae
Source: RefSeq, a predicted model, not a curated record
UGUUGCAGUAUGAUGAGUUCUUGAAAUAAACUGCGUUAUCGUACCUAGGCCAGUUUAACUACUGGUUUGAAGAGGAUAAACAUUAACAUACAAACUCUGACUGCAUAUA